This 71-nucleotide transfer RNA is filed under the name Actinomycetota bacterium. Its description in RNAcentral is "tRNA-Asn". It matches the Rfam family "tRNA". From Rfam's summary of the family: Transfer RNA (tRNA) molecules are approximately 80 nucleotides in length. Their secondary structure includes four short double-helical elements and three loops (D, anti-codon, and T loops). Further hydrogen bonds mediate the characteristic L-shaped molecular structure. tRNAs have two regions of fundamental functional importance: the anti-codon, which is responsible for specific mRNA codon recognition, and the 3' end, to which the tRNAs corresponding amino acid is attached (by aminoacyl-tRNA synthetases). tRNAs cope with the degeneracy of the genetic code in two manners: having more than one tRNA (with a specific anti-codon) for a particular amino acid; and 'wobble' base-pairing, i.e. permitting non-standard base-pairing at the 3rd anti-codon position. Lineage: Bacteria; Bacillati; Actinomycetota. The record is from RNAcentral.
UCUCGUGUCGUCCAACUGCAGGACGCCGGACCGUUACUCCGGUGAUGGAGGUUCGAGUCCUCUCGCGAGAG